This 2430-nucleotide ribosomal RNA is filed under the name Listeria monocytogenes. RNAcentral's name for it is "partial 23S ribosomal RNA". It matches the Rfam family "Bacterial large subunit ribosomal RNA", at positions 497 to 2925 of the family's 2925-position model. Lineage: Bacteria; Bacillati; Bacillota; Bacilli; Caryophanales; Listeriaceae. The record is from RNAcentral.
AGUACCGUGAGGGAAAGGUGAAAAGCACCCCGGAAGGGGAGUGAAACAGUUCCUGAAACCGUGUGCCUACAAGUAGUUAGAGCCCGUUAAUGGGUGAUAGCGUGCCUUUUGUAGAAUGAACCGGCGAGUUACGAUUUGUUGCAAGGUUAAGCGGAAAAAGCGGAGCCGUAGCGAAAGCGAGUCUGAAUAGGGCGCAUAAGUAACAGGUCGUAGACCCGAAACCAGGUGAUCUACCCAUGUCCAGGAUGAAGGUAAGGUAAUACUUACUGGAGGUCCGAACCCACGCACGUUGAAAAGUGCGGGGAUGAGGUGUGGGUAGCGGAGAAAUUCCAAUCGAACUUGGAGAUAGCUGGUUCUCUCCGAAAUAGCUUUAGGGCUAGCCUCGAGGUAAAGAGUCAUGGAGGUAGAGCACUGUUUGGACUAGGGGCCCUUCUCGGGUUACCGAAUUCAGAUAAACUCCGAAUGCCAUGUACUUAUACUCGGGAGUCAGACUGCGAGUGAUAAGAUCCGUAGUCGAAAGGGAAACAGCCCAGACCACCAGUUAAGGUCCCCAAAUAUAUGUUAAGUGGAAAAGGAUGUGGGGUUGCUUAGACAACCAGGAUGUUGGCUUAGAAGCAGCCACCAUUGAAAGAGUGCGUAAUAGCUCACUGGUCGAGUGACCCCGCGCCGAAAAUGUACCGGGGCUAAACAUAUUACCGAAACUGUGGAUGAACCUCUUUAGAGGUUCGUGGUAGGAGAGCGUUCUAAGGGCGGUGAAGUCAGACCGGAAGGACUGGUGGAGCGCUUAGAAGUGAGAAUGCCGGUAUGAGUAGCGAAAGAAGGGUGAGAAUCCCUUCCACCGAAUAUCUAAGGUUUCCUGAGGAAGGCUCGUCCGCUCAGGGUUAGUCGGGACCUAAGCCGAGGCCGAUAGGCGUAGGCGAUGGACAACAGGUAGAGAUUCCUGUACCAGUGCUAAUUGUUUAACCGAUGGGGUGACACAGAAGGAUAGGGAAUCGCACGAAUGGAAAUGUGCGUCCAAGCAGUGAGUGUGAGAAGUAGGCAAAUCCGCUUCUCGCGAAGCAUGAGCUGUGAUGGGGAAGGAAAUUAAGUACGGAAGUUCCUGAUUUCACGCUGUCAAGAAAAGCCUCUAGGAAGAGUAGUACUGCCCGUACCGCAAACCGACACAGGUAGAUGAGGAGAGAAUCCUAAGGUGAGCGAGAGAACUCUCGUUAAGGAACUCGGCAAAAUGACCCCGUAACUUCGGGAGAAGGGGUGCUCUAUUAGGGUGCAAGCCCGAGAGAGCCGCAGUGAAUAGGCCCAGGCGACUGUUUAGCAAAAACACAGGUCUCUGCAAAACCGUAAGGUGACGUAUAGGGGCUGACGCCUGCCCGGUGCUGGAAGGUUAAGAGGAGUGCUUAGCUUCGGCGAAGGUACGAAUUGAAGCCCCAGUAAACGGCGGCCGUAACUAUAACGGUCCUAAGGUAGCGAAAUUCCUUGUCGGGUAAGUUCCGACCCGCACGAAAGGCGCAACGAUCUGGGCACUGUCUCAACGAGAGACUCGGUGAAAUUAUAGUACCUGUGAAGAUGCAGGUUACCCGCGACAGGACGGAAAGACCCCGUGGAGCUUUACUGCAACCUGAUAUGGAAUGUUUGUACCGCUUGUACAGGAUAGGUAGGAGCCGAAGAGACGUGUGCGCUAGCAUACGAGGAGGCAAUGGUGGGAUACUACCCUGGCUGUAUGACCAUUCUAACCCGCCACGCUUAGCGCGUGGGGAGACAGUGUCAGGUGGGCAGUUUGACUGGGGCGGUCGCCUCCUAAAGAGUAACGGAGGCGCCCAAAGGUUCCCUCAGAAUGGAUGGAAAUCAUUCGCAGAGUGUAAAGGCACAAGGGAGCUUGACUGCGAGACUGACAAGUCGAGCAGGGACGAAAGUCGGGCUUAGUGAUCCGGUGGUUCCGCAUGGAAGGGCCAUCGCUCAACGGAUAAAAGCUACCCCGGGGAUAACAGGCUUAUCUCCCCCAAGAGUCCACAUCGACGGGGAGGUUUGGCACCUCGAUGUCGGCUCGUCGCAUCCUGGGGCUGUAGUCGGUCCCAAGGGUUGGGCUGUUCGCCCAUUAAAGCGGCACGCGAGCUGGGUUCAGAACGUCGUGAGACAGUUCGGUCCCUAUCCGUCGCGGGCGCAGGAAAUUUGAGAGGAGCUGUCCUUAGUACGAGAGGACCGGGAUGGACACACCGCUGGUGUACCAGUUGUUCCGCCAGGAGCAUCGCUGGGUAGCUAUGUGUGGCAGGGAUAAACGCUGAAAGCAUCUAAGCGUGAAGCCCCCCUCAAGAUGAGAUUUCCCAUUUCUUCGGAAAGUAAGAUCCCUGAAAGAUGAUCAGGUAGAUAGGUUUGGAGUGGAAGUGUAGCGAUACAUGGAGCGGACAAAUACUAAUCGAUCGAGGACUUAACCAA